CGGACGGGUGAGUAAUACUUAGGAAUCUGCCCAUUAGUGGGGGACAACAUUCGGAAACGGAUGCUAAUACCGCAUACGCCCUACGGGGGAAAGCGGGGGAUCUUCGGACCUCGCGCUAAUGGAUGAGCCUAAGUCGGAUUAGCUUGUUGGUGAGGUAAUGACUCACCAAGGCGACGAUCCGUAGCUGGUCUGAGAGGACGAUCAGCCACACUGGGACUGAGACACGGCCCAG
Molecule: ribosomal RNA, 232 nt
Filed under: uncultured bacterium
Lineage: Bacteria
Description: partial 16S ribosomal RNA
Rfam family: Bacterial small subunit ribosomal RNA
Source: RNAcentral